Molecule: long non-coding RNA, 1431 nt
Organism: Monopterus albus (swamp eel)
Lineage: Eukaryota; Metazoa; Chordata; Actinopteri; Synbranchiformes; Synbranchidae
Exons: 3
Source: RefSeq, a predicted model, not a curated record
UUUGUUUACUGGGAGUUUGCUCUGUCUGAGUGAAGGAAUUUCCAGAUCCCUCUUCCCUGCGCAUUGUCUAUGCCCCCAGAGUCUGUUCCUGCUGCAGGAUUCACUGGAACCAAAGAAACAGUGUCCACCUCACAUCCACACACAAACAGCAGCUAUUCUUAAAUGAAUGGUUUUAAACGGAGUCUGGUUAUUACAGAAGCACAUGAGGGAAGCUGGAGCAGGUGACCAGCCCCGUGUCAGAGCACGAGCCGCUCCAGGUUGUGCAAGAGUGAAGUUAAAAAUAGGAGAUCGGAAAAUGGGCUUAGAUAAACACGAAGUGAAAUUCACUAGAAACCCCGACGACGCUUCCCUUUUGGGACUGUUCUUAUUGCAGGCAGUAGGGGCGCUGCCGCUGCACAGCUUCACUUCUGGAAGCCUCGGCUCCUGCACUGCUGCUUCUGGAUGCGUCCACCCAGGCCAAAAAUAUCCCGGCUCACCGGAUCAGCUGGGGUCAGAAUCUUGGUGUAACCUCGGAUUACACAACAGAACUGCGUUAUAAAACAUCAAAAGACCCUGCAGGACUGACCUGGACUGACUUCCAGGUAAACCCCGGUCCGAGGCGCCCUCGUGCGGCCCGCGCUGCCACUGCAGCAGGGAAACCAGCAGCUGGAAGGUACCAGUGUUAGAGCGGGACUCUCAGGCCGUGGCGUGCAGCUGAGGUUUCUUUCAGACCUGAUCAUGCAAAACAAAGAUCAACCCCCCGCGGUGGAUUUACAUACAAUAUGAAAGCCGCUUCGUGUCACAGGAGGUGCACAGAAAACUACACCAGAGAAUGUCUGAUGUCCGGUUCUAAGCACCGGCCUGUGGCUCGGCAUGGCGUCCACGCUGGGCUGACACCGUGGCGGACGUAUCCGUGGUGCUGCUGCCGCCUGCUGGAAGGCUCCGCUUCACACACCGUCUCACUGCUGCAACAUUGCAUCAGGUGAAAACUAGACGGUUUGCUUUGUAACAUUCAUUCUGUAUUUCGCACUUUAUUUUGAGUUUUAACAAUAGGAAGUGUUCUGUAAUGUUUAACAUGCCAGGGAACAAACGACCCUAUUCCUCACGUUGUUAGUUAAAAGACAACGAAUUAUAUUAGUCACGUGACUUUUAAUUCAGCCGGAGGUCGUUUAUUGAACUUUUUUAUUUAAAGGGUCUUGGGCACACUGGUCAGCGGAGAAAUACAUAGAAGGAUCAAAUGAGCUGACUGAUGAUUGAUUAAAGGGUGUAAAUCAGCAGUUGAUCGGGAUCAAACUGCAGCCUGAUGAGGCUCAUUAGGAGCCCGAUGCAGCGGCUGUUAGGGAAAGUGUGAAGUGCUGAUUGAAUAUGAACUGAUUAGAUGACCCGCUGCAGCCGUGAUGACAUCAGUCACUGAUCUCAUCGAUACCUCGGGCUUUUAACGGGAAAGCACCA